Molecule: ribosomal RNA, 432 nt
Filed under: uncultured bacterium
Lineage: Bacteria
Description: partial 16S ribosomal RNA
Rfam family: Bacterial small subunit ribosomal RNA
Source: RNAcentral
CGAACGCUGGCGGCAGGCCUACCACAUGCACGUCGACCGAACCUUUCGGGGUUAGUGGCGGACGGGUGAGUAACACGUGGGAACGUGCCUUUAGGUUCGGAAUAACUCAGGGAAACUUGUGCUAAUACCGAAUGUGCCCUUCGGGGGAAAGAUUUAUCGCCUUUAGAGCGGCCCGCGUCUGAUUAGCUAGUUGGUUGAGGUAAUGGCUCACCAAGGCGACGAUCAGUAGCUGGUCUGAGAGGAUGAUCAGCCACAUUGGGACUGAGACACGGCCCAAACUCCUACGGGAGGCAGCAGUGGGGAAUCUUGCGCAAUGGGCGAAAGCCUGACGCAGCCAUGCCGCGUGAAUGAUGAAGGUCUUAGGAUUGUAAAAUUCUUUCACCGGGGACGAUAAUGACGGUACCCGGAGAAGAAGCCCCGGCUAACUUCGUG